CUCUUUCGAAGAGAUUAUAACUCUACAUCUAUUGUUUCUUUCCCCUUUUGGUCAUUUAUCAUAUUGUGUACACAUUUCAAUAGAUAGUUCAUGAUCCUCAUUCUCAUCAACUGCUACAUUGCAUGCAUAAAUAUUCACGACGUCGAUUUGAUAUCAGUUCCAUAUUGUUCCAGACAUUACAUAUCUAUUUGAGAUUUCUUUAUUCUCAGGUACCCGAAUUUCUUUCUUGUCAUGUUUUCUAUCCCUUCUCGAGAUCCUUAAUAUUUCAUUCCUCGAUUCGAUCAUUCUCAUUCAUGCUCCUUUUCUCUUCUGAGGAUUAUUAUAUUUGGAACCGAUAGGUCUUUCGCGCUUCAGACGCUCUUUAGACACAUUAGCAGUUUGAUAUUAUUGUCGUUCUGGGACAUCCAUUUUAACUAGGAGCAUCUACAGCUGGUACUUGGGCAUUAAUCACUUUCUUAUGGUUAGUAAAUGAGUCUGGCAACUCAUAAGCUAAUCUUUGUAAUAUAAUUAUCUCCAUACAUUCUUUUUGGACUUCUAUUUACGCUCU
This 547-nucleotide long non-coding RNA is filed under the name Brassica napus (rape). Its description in RNAcentral is "long non-coding RNA (BNAP_LNC024873)". The record is from RNAcentral. Lineage: Eukaryota; Viridiplantae; Streptophyta; Magnoliopsida; Brassicales; Brassicaceae.